This 435-nucleotide ribosomal RNA is filed under the name uncultured bacterium. RNAcentral's name for it is "partial 16S ribosomal RNA". It matches the Rfam family "Bacterial small subunit ribosomal RNA", at positions 30 to 507 of the family's 1533-position model. The record is from RNAcentral.
AGCGAACGCUGGCGGCAGGCUUAACACAUGCAAGUCGAGCGGGCAUCUUCGGAUGUCAGCGUCAGACGGGUGCGUAACACGUGGGAACGUACCCUUCGUUUCGGAACAACUCUGGGAAACUGGAGCUAAAACCGGAUACGCCCUUAGGGGGAACGGUUUACUGCCGAAGUAUCGGCCCGCGUCUGAUUUGCUAGUGGGUGGGUUAACGCCGUACCAAGGGGGCGAUCGGUAGUUGGCGAGGGAGGAUGAUCAGGCACACGGGGAAUGGGACAUGGCCCAGACGCCGGCGGGAGGGGGGAAUGGGGAAUAUUGGGCGAAGGGCGCAAGCAUGGACCACCCGUGGCGGGUGAGUGAUGGAGGCCUUAAGGUUGUAAAGCGCUUUUGUCCGGGACGUUAAUGACGGUACCGGAAGAAUAAGCCCCGGCUAACUUCGUG